UAUAACUAUUUCUAAAAGAUAAUUUUGUUUAUUCAGUCUAAAAUAUGUGCUCUGUUUUCUCUUUUUACAUGGAAAGAUAAAACCCCUCAGUGCGAUAAGAGCAAACAAUGCCAGGGUGAAGGCAAGGGUGAAGGCAAGGGUGAAGGCAAAGGUGAAGGCAAGGGAAAAGGACCAGGACAAGGGCAAGGCAAGGGUCAUGGUCACGGACAUGGUCAUGGUCAUGGUCACGGUCACGGACCUGGAAAGGAUGGAAAGGAUUGCAAAGGCAACCCAUAAUGACAAGGAGCUGAAUGAAGAGACCUCUGAAGUCUGUCUGAUACUGUUUUUUCUUGCACCAUGACUAAUAAAAUAAAACAUGUAUAAGUGUACCACAUAUGUUUGUUUUUAUUAAAUGAUAAUAAAGUGUUGGUAUCAGAGAAUGGCUUUUAGAAUCAUUGACUCUGAAAUUCACACAGAUGAAACUUCAAUGUCCAAAUAUACAACAAAAUGAAGUAGCUGUGGCAAGGUGUGCAAGUUUACACAGCAAGAAGGUGUAUAUGCUGAAACAAUGUUAAAUCAGGAAAUAAGACCUACUUGGUUUAUGAAUGUUAUCUUUU
Molecule: long non-coding RNA, 596 nt
Organism: Ictalurus punctatus (channel catfish)
Lineage: Eukaryota; Metazoa; Chordata; Actinopteri; Siluriformes; Ictaluridae
Source: Ensembl